This 76-nucleotide transfer RNA is filed under the name Polyangium sp. y55x31. RNAcentral describes it as "tRNA-Asn". It matches the Rfam family "tRNA". From Rfam's summary of the family: Transfer RNA (tRNA) molecules are approximately 80 nucleotides in length. Lineage: Bacteria; Pseudomonadati; Myxococcota; Polyangiales; Polyangiaceae. The record is from RNAcentral.
UUCAACGUAGCUCAACCGGAAGAGCACUCGCCUGUUAAGCGAGGAGAUGGGGGUUCGAAGCCCUCCGUUGGAGCCA